GACGAAUGCCUAGGGACAAGUUGCCGAAGAAGGACGUGUAAGCGACGAAACGUCCAGGGGAGCUGCACAAGAGCGUUGAUCCUGGAAUCUCCGAAUGGGGAAACCCAGCUAGAGUUAUGUCUAGUUACUCUUUCCUGAAUACAUAGGGAUCGAAGAGGGAACCUGGUGAACUGAAACAUCUAAGUAACCAGAGGAAAAGAAAUCGA
This 206-nucleotide ribosomal RNA is filed under the name Pycnococcus provasolii. RNAcentral describes it as "partial Bacterial large subunit ribosomal RNA". It matches the Rfam family "Bacterial large subunit ribosomal RNA", at positions 23 to 228 of the family's 2925-position model. Lineage: Eukaryota; Viridiplantae; Chlorophyta; Pseudoscourfieldiophyceae; Pseudoscourfieldiales; Pycnococcaceae. The record is from RNAcentral.